Molecule: long non-coding RNA, 242 nt
Organism: Armigeres subalbatus
Lineage: Eukaryota; Metazoa; Arthropoda; Insecta; Diptera; Culicidae
Exons: 3
Source: RefSeq, a predicted model, not a curated record
AUUGAAUUGAAGACAGCGUGUGAAUUUCUUAUCCUAAAUCAAUUAUAAAUAAUACUUAACUAUCCUAUAACUAUUAGUGCUACAAUCAAUCUAUUUACAAGCUUAGUACUAGAUUCUUUCCACCAAGUAGCUGAAACCAACCUAACCCUUAUCUACUUAUGCUGUAAAGUGCACAAUCACGACACGACAGACAGAUUUCGACAAGACAGACUACGACUGACAAACUACGAACGAUCAUAAAG